GCGGCGAAACCGAUUCGUCAGUGAUCGUUGUCCGUCGGGAUAUCAGUAUAUGUGCGGGACCGGUUGUCGAGUGGUCGUUUUUGCUCGAGAGUCGUGUUUAGUGCGUGUGUUUAGACGAAUUUUUUUCGGGAAUUUAUAUACGGUGUAGUGUAUUUUCGACGUCUGUUCCAUUCAUACGAAUACCACGGGUGCGCGAGGUGUACCGCGAAGUCAUCCGAUACGGAGCAUAAUAAAUAAUAUAUGAUUUAUUGUUGGAACUUACUAUAGUUUCGUUUAGCGGUAUCUCUUGAAAUAAUAUGGGCCCUACGGUAGCGGCGACUAUAUCUGCGUCGACGGAAUCGUCGGAUGGCGAAAACAGCGCCAAAAAGAAGGGCAUACGGCGACUGCUGACGCCCGCGAUAUUUGCGGGCAGUGACCAUAAGAACAAACAGUCGGCGGCGGCGUCGUCUUCAUCGACGGCGAUGGACGUCGGUAACACUGCCGUUCACAAUCAUCAGCACCGCCAACCCAGCAACAACCGACUGACCUCCAACAAAAAGACCAUUAUUGAGACAGCGUUCGUCAACAACAACGGUAACAGUAAUUCGACGGGAAACGUGGCAUAUCGGUUGCAGCAACAGCAACAGCAAGCGCAACUGCAGCGGUUUCGCUAUGCGCAGGGACUGGAUCGGCACGCAAACGAUGUGACCGACUUCCGUUCGCGGAGCGUCAGCCCCGGAUCGUUCGACCGGGAUGUCAAUGCCAAUUACGGAUGUGGCGAACGUCGGAUGGACAGCCCGUGCUCGUUGUUAUCAUCGUCGUCGACGUCGUCGCUGCUGCCCUCACCGUCGGGCAGGCGGUCUGCUCCCAUAAUACCGUAUUCGCAGUAUUACAACAACAGGAACGGUGGCGGAGGUAGCGGCGGCAGUGGUGGUGGUCAGCAGCAGCAAAGGUUGUUGCUCAUGCCCGUCGGUGCGCAGGUCAAGAUUACCGCGCCGCAAUCGUCUACAGCGGUGUACGCGGCUGCCGUUCGCCAACAUCGACUGCAACAGCAAAAUCAACAACAGCAACAACAACAACAACAACAACAACAACAACAACAACAACAACAGGCUAUCUACGGUAACGUGGCGGCCGGCGCCGUGGGCCCAUUCGUCCGUGGGUCUCCGCACCGAGCCACCAUCGGAUGCGUCCGGGAAUCACCGGGCCGGCAGUCGACCAUUUACGAGACGGAAGAGGAUGUCGUUACGGCUGCCGUCGCCGUGGGCGAGAAGAGGUUUCAGCCGAUUUUCAAGAGGGGUGCUCUGCAAGAACCUGCCACCGACUCGUCACCGAUCACCGGACAGACGCCGUCGCCACAUUCGUCCGGCUGCAGUCCAAAGAGGGUGAGUUUCUCACCGGAGCCGUCCGAACCGCCCGCGUACUGGCCCACUAAGAAGGGCCCAUCUCCACAACCACCCACCCGUCAAAGCUCGACCGACUCACCGGUGGCCGCUGAACGGCCACUACCGCUCGUACCCAAACGGAGCCCGUCCACGUCGGCCAUUUACGGCACGCUGCAGCAGCGCGGUGGCUCCCAGCGAUCGCACCAACAACACCAACAGCAGCCGCCGAAUCGAUGGUGGUCACCAUCGUUGCCGUCGCCAUCGCCGCUGCACCAGCACUACCAACAGUCCGGCAGCGAGUCCGGUAGCGAGGCCGGCGAGGUGCAGCGAAUACUGAAUGUCAAAAACGGUCAUCGGCUGAUCAUCGACGAUGAUUGGAGUGGAGACGGAAAAACCAGAGGGGCUGCUGAACAAGCCGGUGAUGAACUCCGUCGAGGCCGAUCAUCGAGAAGAGACGAUCCUCGGCGGCACACUCUAUCCGGUGAUCAACAUCACAAUUAUCAACCAGCCCUAACGAGAUCUAUGGAUUUAGAGAUGGGAACGAAAAUGCAACGGAAAAAAUCUCCAGCUUCCAGGGGAGGAUAUCCACCAGCUACUGGGAUAUUGUUCGACGACGAUCCGGGUAUAAUGUCUGAAGUUGAAACCAGUUCUACCGGGUUCCGAAGAGGUAACAAGCAGAGGAGUUCAUUGCCAGUCGUCAGAACUCCGUCAAAAACUUUAGAGCGACCAUUGGGUGACCCGAUGUUGAAUGACGAAAUGGCUUUCCGUAAUAUGAUGACUCACCCACGACAAAGUUUAGGUCUCGUAUUCUUGCAAUACCGUAGCGAAACGAAAAGAGCCUUGUUACCAAAUGAAAUCACCUCAAUAGACACAGUUAAGGCUCUGUUUGUCCGGUCUUUUCCAAAACAACUCACCAUGGAAUAUAUGGACUCGGCACUUGUCAAGAUCUACAUUCAUGAUUCGUCAAAAGACAUGUUUUAUGAGCUGGAAGAUCUCAGGUCACACCUAAACGACAUCCGAGAUAGGUCGGUGUUGCGACUUUUUGAGUCAGCCGAGGGUGGUCCUCUACCUCAGGGCCUCACAAUAGCCGCGCCUACGUGGGACCAAGAUCAAUCGUACUUUAGCGAACCAGAAUUCGACUCAGAAUUUCAACAUCAACACAUACACAAGACUAAGGGUAGCAAAUGCACCAGUGGCGGUGCCCCCGGACAACCGUACUACAUGACCCAUCAGUUCCCGCCCGGGUCGUCGGCUACGCUACCCAACAGGGGCCGUCCGCCCACCGGGUCCAUACCGGCCAGGGCUUAUUCGCCAGCCGUGCCGCCGGUUGCGGCCAACAAAUCGUCAGGGUACAUGUCAUCGCCGGAGAGAGCUAAUUCUAGAACUGGGUACACAGCUGCCCCAUACAUGUCUCCGGGGGGUUCUUCGUUCGACGAAAAUUCAUAUUAUGGCUAUGGACCCAGAACCGGGUCUAUUACUCCCGUGAUCGACGAAGAGACUAGUGACAACGAGCUCAUGGAAGACCCGUUUAGCAUGUACGCCGCUAAACCGUCGUCAGUUACCAAAAGACCGACGUAUGGCAAUCCGCCGCCAACCGUCCCCUACGACGCCACCAGGAUACGAGUAGAAAACAUGGAGAGACAGAUUGCUAAUCUAACGGGAUUAGUUCAGAAAGCUUUAACGCACGCACCGGUCGUGGCGCCACCGUUCAGAAAUGCUAGUGAUGAGUUCGAUAAGGUCUCUGUCGGAAGCACUACGUCUCUAGCAGAGGAACCAUACAAGCGGUCUGACACUAAACCUCCUAAACUCGGACGAGACAAAUCAGUUUCGUUUGAGAAAUCUGUAUCGUUCAGCGACGAGCCACCGGACAUGAACUCGCCAAAACAACAUUCGCCACAAAGUUCAGCGGACACGAAACCUGCGAAACCAGCAAUUAAAUCGUCUACAUUACCUAGAACAGCAUCUCAAGAAAAAGACAGAUUUAAGCCUCAUCCUCCGCCUAAGCCGUCCACUAUACCAGGACAAUAUGAUGAAAGACACUUGUACAGUGAUCUACAGCUGACGCCAGAAAUGUAUAAUCAACUCAGAGUUUUGCAGAAAAAAGCAAAAGACUUGCGGCAAGAAGCCCGAAACCUAAGAAGAAUGUCUCAAGCACAAGCCCACUCUAUUCGCGAAACCAUCAAAGACACGUUCAUAAAAAUAAGAGCGUUGAUCGCUUCCGGCGCCGACCAAGCAUGGAGCGAAUCCGGAUCGAAGGAAAGGGCACACGUAGACCGGGAAGAGGACAUUUACAGGCAGGAGAUUAUCAGGCUAGAAACGGACUUGACUGAGCUCGAGAGCACGGUGGAAGAACUACGAGGAAACGUCAUUAACAAAAAGUCCAGAGUAAACAUGUCAGACGUGGAAAACAUGGCGCUUGUGCUCAGCAAAUCCAGUAAAACGGUUGCUGAAUUAAAAUUGAGGUUCCCGAGUUUACAAGAGUCAAUUCGUACAGUAUUAACGAAGGAAAUGGACAGAGCUGUUACAGAGGAAAAGUUUCUUAAAGAAGAGCCCGACCGCCUAGAAAGCGCACUCAAACGAUGUAAAAAAUUAACCGGAACGCUUGUAACACUCAAGAGGCUAGCUUCCGUUCAGGAACAACGUCUGCCCGACGCCAGACUGUCGCCAACCAACGAAGACACUCCGCCGAUCACGCCUACAUCGUCUGCCAAGUGUGUGAAUAAUGCCUGCACAGAUAAUGUAGAUUGUGAGCAAGUAUUGUAAUGUAUAUUUUGCCACAGACGUCCAUUGCAAAUUAACUUGCCAUGUUUCAGAUCAAAUAAACUUUUGGGGAGUAUCGCUGGACAGGGGAGUGUCGUGGAGCAGACCGGAACAGGAACAGACGACGGCGCCGGUGGUGCUGGAAAGCGCGAGCCAACAGGUGCGGAGAACGCACUCGACACUCUGCUAGACGAACUGCAGACA
This 4328-nucleotide unclassified non-coding RNA is filed under the name Rhopalosiphum maidis (corn leaf aphid). RNAcentral's name for it is "coiled-coil domain-containing protein AGAP005037, transcript variant X13". The record is from RNAcentral. Lineage: Eukaryota; Metazoa; Arthropoda; Insecta; Hemiptera; Aphididae.